Molecule: unclassified non-coding RNA, 100 nt
Filed under: Komagataella phaffii CBS 7435
Lineage: Eukaryota; Fungi; Ascomycota; Pichiomycetes; Pichiales; Pichiaceae
Source: RNAcentral
AAUUAACCAGUGAAACAAUGUCUGAAGAUCCCAGAAGACCAGAUGAGGUAGUACGUCCACGUUCCAGCUCAGACCAGAAAUACGGCCGCCAACGUUGUUG